UGCUCCCCCAUCAGUCUCGCCAGCUUUCACCAAUUCUCCCUUAUUGGGUUAAAAUUGCUGCAAUGAGGUUAAACAUUGCAGAAUCAUAGGAACUGUUUUUAAUCUGUCUCCAAGGUAACCAUAUCAUCCUUUAAAAUAACAUCCUCGCUUUUGUUUGCCUUUUGUUUCCCUUUUUUUAUUCUGCCUUCUCUGCUCGUCUGUGUGGAUAAUGCUGCCUCUUUACCUCCUCCUCUCUUGUGUUUUUUUUGCCUUGAGUGUAUUUGAGUCUCUCCCUCUCUCCCCGCCCAUGUCUUCCUGAGCUUUCUCUCUGCAUGCCUUUCUUUUCUCCUAAACUGUGUAUCCUUUUCUUUGUGGGUGCCUGCCCCUCUUAUUUCCCCAUUGCAUGGAUGCAGGUGCACGUUACUCUCCCUCAGGCUCAUGCCUUUCUUUUUCUUUCCCCCUGCUGUUUUGUGUCUCUUUAUCUUUGUCCAUCUGUCUAUCUUUCCCUCCCACCUUUUUAAAUGGUAUGUUUGAUUCCACUAUAACCAGAUAUCUCCCCUUUUAAAGCUCACAGGCUCUCAGAGCUGACUCCAUGCAGCCAGGAGGAGGUCCCUUGAUGCUCUCAGUAAAGAUCUCCAGCAAUUGCAGUCCUUUGUUUUAGUUUACAGCAAGGGGGAGCUGACAUUGCCUGAUGCGUUGGUGAUUAAAACAAAGCUGACUGUCACGGCUAGGUCCUGCAAACAAAGAACUUGCUCUGAAACCUGAUGACUCAUCCUUUAUAAAUCUGUCAGGAGAUGCUUGAUGAGGAGUGCUCUCGUGCUUAGUUGUAAGGAGUUUCAAUAUUGAUCAAAGCUGCUAUUACCAAACUGCCUUUUCAAGAUUUUUGUGCCAGACAGGAUCUCCACAGGUUUUCAGGACACGGAGUUGUACUAAUUGGCAAACAGAUGUGUUGGCCUUUGCCAGGAUGAUUAUCAGUGAAGGAGCAGAAGUUUUCACCUUUCCUUCUUUUCUGUGGCUGUGGUGGAGGAAGGUGGUUGUAAAGACCUGAUGCAUCAACGGCAGCAGACCAGUGGAUCCAGAUGUCCACACCUCAUGACCAUAGCGGCUGAAGCUUUAUUGAAGGCUUCAUCAUCGGUGGGUCUGAUCUGUUCCUCCUGGUGACAGUGUCAGCGGUGGCUGUAGUGGUGGUGGCGUGGUGGUUCCAGUUCAUUCCUCGCAGCUUCAGGCGGUGACUGACGUGGUGAUGGAUUGAGCGAUGGCUACAGCAUCAGCAGCUUGUUUAGUUGCGAACACUGAUGCUCUGUUCAGAUCAGUGAACAGUGAAUGUGAAAUAAUGAUGCUGCUGGACCUGCUGAGAUUCUCCAGUAUUCUCUGCAUUUUGUCUCAGCAUUUUGCUUUUAUCGCUGAAAACAAUAUCAACCUUGGCUCCAAUCAAAUGCUACCCCUAAAGGAAAGCUAAACUAUCCCAAGGAACUGCACCCCAACUAAGAGUCCAUAAUAUUAGUAGGAAUUAAGGAGAAAACUGGGGAGGGAGGAUUCUUGACUUCUCUUCAUGGAACAGUGGGGAUUUUCCUGCUGCACCACUUUCAUUGAUUGCUGGAUAUGAAAGGCAAGGAAUGUGCACCCUGUGAUUUCCCAUGGAUGGAUAAUAUAUCAAUUUCCCACUUGUUGGUCUUGCUUGGGCAGUGUCAAAGUAGAUGUCUCAGUUUUGGUCUUCGUAUCAAUCUUACCUUUGCAAACAUAAGCCCUGAGCAAGCGAUGUAAAUGCAUAAACAUGGCCCUUUAACUCACCUUAACCAACAUUAAAUCUGGCCACACAUCUAUCAAGGACUCAAUCUGACAGGCAAAAACACGUAUUUAAAUUUAUCUAAUUUUCCAAAUGUCAAUUGCCUUUCCGUUCUUAUCCUUCUUUUAUUAAUAGAUGUCAGCUAAUCCCCUGGUCUGACCUGUGGCUCUUAAUGUAUUUAAUUUCAAUUUAAUUCCGAACUUUUGGAAUCUCCAGUGAAACCGCCACACUGCGAGCAGAGAGAUUACAGCAUUUCAGGCAAAGGCUACAGACAGGCAAACUCAAGAGCAACUGAGAUCUUGACAGCAGGUUCCCAACUAAACUGCUGAGGAGCACAAAAAGCAUUAGUGGUCCAUUUUUAAAAAAAAUGUACCUGCUAUUAAGGCAGAUUUAUCAACAGAUCAGCCUGGCUGGCGUAGAUAUUUUCUGUCAAUACAAAUAUCUGCAAAAUAAACAAGACGUGUUGAGUGUCAGCCAAUUUUCUGCCUUAGUGCAAAAACAUAAGUGUGCCAUUAAUUAGACAGCUGUGCAAAGGAAGAGCUCCUGCCUCCGUAACUGGAAGAACACUUUCCCUGUAUCAUAAUAGUCACAGCUUCGCACCCAGCAUUAUCAGCCUCUUGCUGAGUGUACAGCCCCAACUGACUCAUCAAAUAUUGCCUUCCAAAGAGAGGUUCGGUCACAUAAAUAGCACCACCAGUUUAUGGAGCGAGAAACUGGGAGUGGAAGGUGGGAAUACAGAAUAGACUCAGAAAGCAAGAAAGUAGGAGAGAGAAAGAGCCAGAGAAAGAGAAGAGUCAUGUGGAUUUUAAAAAGGGAUUUCAAGCUGAUAAUUCUCAGGGGGACUUCUAGUUCCAUGAAGUCUGUGAUGCUGCCACUUACCAUGUUUUUGGUGGUCUGAAAGUUCCUGUUCUGGAACUUUGCUCAGCAAACACACUUGUCAGCAUUUUCUGCCAAGAACUGUACCCCCUGAAGCCACUGCUUCAGCAUGAUUUCAUCAAUCAUUCUCAAAUUAGAAGGUUCAUAACAGUACUCCUUAGAUUGGAACAAAGAUUCUCAUUUUUUUUGUCCCACAUUUUUUACUCUUUCUUCACCUUCAUACAUCAGGCGAAGUUCUGCCCUGUGCUCCCCAUCAUGUGUUCCACAUAAUCAUAGCUGAACAAUUCACAGAUAUUUUCCUUCAACUUUUUUUUUUCUGUGGAUAUUGUCUGCCAUGCCUUUUCCAAGAGUAUCAGUCUUAUCUCAAUUACAGUCUUCAUCCGUGGUUCCUCCUUUAUAUUGACCUCCUCUUGAAGGUCUGCUUUAAAAGUGGGCUCAGAACCACACACAAAUUGUCCCAUAUCACUCUGAGCCUAACUUUUAUUCCACUUAUCAGCCUUGCCUCUAAGACACAACCAUUUUGGGGUUUCUUUAAAACCCCCAUGUACUCCAAUCAAAGUAGUCCAGUUUCACAUUGAAUCUGUGUUCCUGAAUUGCUUAACUUUGCUAAGCUUAUCCCACAAUUAAAGAUGGGAUCAGCACUGGGUAGGGAAGGGCAGACGUAAUUUUCUAAGCAAGUGCACAAUUAUGCCCCAAAAGCAUUCUCGGGACCAAUGUGUGAUUCUGUUACCCUUUACGAAACAAGUACUAAAUACCAAGGUACAGGAGUUACUGCAUUGAGACUGAUUCCAUAGCAAGGAACAAACACUGUAUUGUUCUGGUUUGAUGAGUGUGAAGGGAGGUGGGCGAUCUUCAUUUCAUUUCAUCAGCGGUCUCUUCCAGGUCAAUGGCGACUGAAUUGGAAAGACUGAGAGCAGUAAAUGCAGUGACUCAGCUGACCACCUCUGAAAAUGAGCCUCCUCUGAUAAAAUUUUUUUUGAAGCUCACGCACAAGGUCACUGAAGAUGUUGCACACGUAAUAGAGCAGUUUCUCAGUGACACAUCGUGUGGUACAACUUGCCCACUGAUUGAAAUUAUUAACCAAAAAUUGACAUCACCUAGCUCCACGCACUUACAAAACUGAACACAUGACAAGCUAAAAUCAUUGGCUUUUCAUUUAAAAUCUAAGUUUGUUUAAAAGAAAUGUCAUGGAAACUAACUAGUCACAAGCUGAUGGUGAAUAUUUAGGGGAAAAUGAUUGUCUUUGACAACUUUUUGUUUACUCAUUUAUUCAGCUUUUUAUAUACUUAGCUAUAUAUUCUUCAGUAGCUAAUUAUUCACUCAGUGCUGCAGAGGAUUUUUGUCACUGUAAUAAUUUUAAGAAUUGAUUUCCUGCUUUGCUCUUCCAAAAGUAAAUAGGAAACAUAAACUCAGCUUUGGACACUUGGCUGAUAAAUGAUAACAUACCAUAUUUGGGUUUUACUUUUCGCCCCACAGUGAGUACACACAAUCCCAUGCCUUCGAUUGAAAAGCAGAAUACUGUGGAUGCUGAAAAUCUGAAAAUGAAAAAGAAAUCAGAUAAUGCUCAACAGUUCCUAUGAAAGGUCAUCACUAACUCUGAUUCUCUCUUCACAGAUGCUACCUGACCUGCUGAGUAUUUUCAAUAUCUUCUGUUUUUAUCACCUUGACUCAGACAAUUGAACCACAUUCUGUGAGGAUGUUGGUUUCUCCUUCCCUUGCACUUGCCUCACCGGUAUGUAAGCAUUAACACUUUAAUGCAGUACUGGGGAAGUUUAGCAUUAUCACUCCAGUGUCAGAUGCAAGAGCACAUCAUUAAUCCGGGGUGGGGUUGAUGUAAUGAUAAUGUCACUGGACUAAAUAUUUGAGGGCCCCAAGCUAAUGUCCCUUGGUGUGUGUUUGAAUCCUACUAUUGCAGAUGAAAUCUCAAUUCAGUAAAAGCUGGAAUUAAAGGCUAGCCUAAUGGUGACCACUGUCAAAUGUUGUAAAAAUCCAGUUGGUUCAUUGAUGUCCUUUAAGGAAGGAAAUCU
This is a non-coding RNA of Chiloscyllium plagiosum (whitespotted bambooshark), 4668 nucleotides long. The record is from RefSeq and is a predicted model, not a curated record. NCBI's taxonomy places the organism in Eukaryota, Metazoa, Chordata, Chondrichthyes, Orectolobiformes, Hemiscylliidae.